AUGUGUCUUGGCUAAGGUGUCUUGGCAAUGGUGUCUUGGCUAAUGUGUCUUGGCUAAUGUGUCUUGGCUAAUGUGUCUUGGCUAAUGUGUCUUGGCUAAUGUGUCUUGGCUAAUGUGUCUUGGCUAAGGUGUCUCGGCUAAGGUGUCUUGGCUAAUGUGUCUUGGCUAAUGUGUCUUCGCUAAGGUGUCUUGUUUAAGGUGUCUUGGCUAAUGUGUCUUGGCUAAUGUGUCUUGGCUAAUGUGUCUUGGCUAAUGUGUGUUGGCUAAUGUGUCUUGGCUAAUGUGUCUUUGCUAAGGUGUCUUGGCUAAUGUGUCUUGGCUAAUGUGUCUA
Molecule: long non-coding RNA, 331 nt
Organism: Anopheles funestus (African malaria mosquito)
Lineage: Eukaryota; Metazoa; Arthropoda; Insecta; Diptera; Culicidae
Exons: 3
Source: RefSeq, a predicted model, not a curated record